This 512-nucleotide ribosomal RNA is filed under the name uncultured bacterium. RNAcentral describes it as "partial 16S ribosomal RNA". It matches the Rfam family "Bacterial small subunit ribosomal RNA", at positions 28 to 523 of the family's 1533-position model. The record is from RNAcentral.
GACGAACGCUGGCGGCGUGCCUAAUACAUGCAAGUCGAGCGGAUUGAUGGGAGCUUGCUCCCUGAUAUCAGCGGCGGACGGGUGAGUAACACGUGGGCAACCUGCCUAUAAGACUGGGAUAACUUCGGGAAACCGGAGCUAAUACCGGAUAAUCCCUUUCCUCUCAUGAGGAAAGGCUGAAAGAUGGUUUACGCUAUCACUUAUAGAUGGGCCCGCGGCGCAUUAGCUAGUUGGUGAGGUAACGGCUCACCAAGACAACGAUGCGUAGCCGACCUGGGAGGGGGAUCGGCCACACUGGGACUGAGACACGGCCCAGACUCCUACGGGAGGCAGCAGUAGGGAAUCUUCCGCAAUGGACGAAAGUCUGACGGAGCAACGCCGCGUGAGUGAUGAAGGUUUUCGGAUCGUAAAACUCUGUUGUUAGGGAAGAACAAGUACGAGAGUAACUGCUCGUACCUUGACGGUACCUAACCAGAAAGCCACGGCUAACUACGUGCCAGCAGCCGCAGUAA